GCCCAGAUAGCUCAGUCGGUAGAGCAGGGGAUUGAAAAUCCCCGUGUCCUUGGUUCGAUUCCGAGUCCGGGCACCA
This 76-nucleotide transfer RNA is filed under the name Citrobacter freundii. Its description in RNAcentral is "tRNA-Phe". It matches the Rfam family "tRNA". Rfam says of the family: Transfer RNA (tRNA) molecules are approximately 80 nucleotides in length. Their secondary structure includes four short double-helical elements and three loops (D, anti-codon, and T loops). Further hydrogen bonds mediate the characteristic L-shaped molecular structure. tRNAs have two regions of fundamental functional importance: the anti-codon, which is responsible for specific mRNA codon recognition, and the 3' end, to which the tRNAs corresponding amino acid is attached (by aminoacyl-tRNA synthetases). tRNAs cope with the degeneracy of the genetic code in two manners: having more than one tRNA (with a specific anti-codon) for a particular amino acid; and 'wobble' base-pairing, i.e. permitting non-standard base-pairing at the 3rd anti-codon position. The record is from RNAcentral. Lineage: Bacteria; Pseudomonadati; Pseudomonadota; Gammaproteobacteria; Enterobacterales; Enterobacteriaceae. RNAcentral also lists the same sequence under 14 other names.